UGUUAAAAAAUUUAUCCACUUUUAUUUUAAAAAUUGACGUGACUAAUAGAAUAAUCAAAUAAUUUUACGUGGCGUGCUAGGUGUACCUAUUCUAACGUAUGAAAACUGGUUUUUAAUAGCAGAAAUUAAUGGAAUUUUAAAUA
Non-coding RNA from Gossypium raimondii (Peruvian cotton), 143 nucleotides. NCBI's taxonomy places the organism in Eukaryota, Viridiplantae, Streptophyta, Magnoliopsida, Malvales, Malvaceae. The record is from Rfam.